Molecule: ribosomal RNA, 354 nt
Filed under: uncultured bacterium
Lineage: Bacteria
Description: bacterial SSU rRNA
Rfam family: Bacterial small subunit ribosomal RNA
Source: RNAcentral
AGAGUUUGAUCCUGGCUCAGGAUGAACGCUAGCUACAGGCUUAACACAUGCAAGUCGAGGGGAAACGACAUCGAAAGCUUGCUUUUGAUGGGCGUCGACCGGCGCACGGGUGAGUAACGCGUAUCCAACCUGCCCACCACUUGGGGAUAACCUUGCGAAAGCAAGACUAAUACCCAAUGAUAUCUCUAGAAGACAUCUGAAAGAGAUUAAAGAUUUAUCGGUGAUGGAUGGGGAUGCGUCUGAUUAGCUUGUUGGCGGGGUAACGGCCACCGAAGGCGACGAUCAGGUAGGGGUUCUGAGAGGAACGGUCCCCCANAUUGGAACUGAGACACGGUCCAAACUCCUACGGGAGCA